Molecule: ribosomal RNA, 253 nt
Filed under: uncultured bacterium
Lineage: Bacteria
Description: partial 16S ribosomal RNA
Rfam family: Bacterial small subunit ribosomal RNA
Source: RNAcentral
UACGGAGGGUGCAAGCGUUAUCCGGAUUUACUGGGUUUAAAGGGUGCGCAGGCGGAUAUGUAAGUCAGUGGUGAAAUCUCUAGGCUUAACCUGGAAAUUGCCGUUGAUACUAUAUAUCUUGAAUGCUGUGGAGGUAAGCGGAAUAUGUCAUGUAGCGGUGAAGUGCUUAGAUAUGACAUAGAACACCUAUUGCGAAGGCAGCUUACUACGCAGAUAUUGACGCUCAUGCACGAAAGCGUGGGGAUCAAACAGG